AUGGCAGAAGAGAAGAAACCACACUCCCAGCCACCGCCGUCGUGGUCAGGCCUCCCGCUGGACCUAGCAGGCUUGGUGCUCAGCCUGCUCCCCGUGUACGCCGACCGCGCCUGCUUUGCCGCGGUGUGCCCACAGUGGCGUGCCGCCGCGAGGCAGCUCCAGCCGCCACCGCUGCCACUGCUGGCACUCCCCGACGGCACCUUCUACAGCCUCAUGUACGACAAGCCCUUCCGCUUCCCUGGUUGUGGCUUCGCUGGGUACGAGAAUGUCUGUGGCAGCUGGCUCGUCUUCUCACGCGAUGACGGAUGCUUCAUGGUCAACCCCUUCUCCCGGGCCACCGUGAGGCUCCCUGCUCUCUCAAGUGUACGACUCCGGCCUCCAAAUGCGUCUGCUAAAUCUAAAUGGGCAGAGGGCGGAAGUGUAGAAUCUGCUAACCUCUACAUCACAUGGAUGCGUAUCAAUAAAGCAGACAACCUGCGCAUAAGUAAGCUAAUCCUGUGCUCGCCAAAUCUCGUUGCUGCACUAGUUGGCAUUGGAUCCUUCAGCCAGAUUCUAAUGUGCCAGCCAGGGGCCUUGUCAUGGUCAGUACGUGCGUAUGAUCGGAUCGAGGAUUUCCAAGACAUGUCAUUCUACCAGGGCAAGCUGUACGCCAUUGCCAAGGACGAGAACCUCCUUGUGGUGAACAUCAGCCAGGACCAGAGCACCGGCGAUCCACAGGUUUGUCGGAUUGGACGAGUCAUCGAGGGUGAUUGUCCUACAUGGUAUGAUGGUGUAUUCGAGGACAACAGUUCGGCCUGCAAGAAGCUCUACCUGGUUGAAUCGCGUGGGAUGUUGCUGAUGGUACGCAGGACGAUUUGGUGUCAGUUUCCUGAACCUGGAGGGGACGGUAGAAUUAUGGGUGGACAGAAUGAGUUCGAGGUUUUCGAGGCUGACUUUGAGCAUUCACGGUGA
Molecule: ribosomal RNA, 951 nt
Filed under: Triticum aestivum (bread wheat)
Lineage: Eukaryota; Viridiplantae; Streptophyta; Magnoliopsida; Poales; Poaceae
Description: partial small subunit ribosomal RNA
Source: RNAcentral